Triticum aestivum (bread wheat) is the source of this 4021-nucleotide long non-coding RNA. RefSeq lists it as uncharacterized. Lineage: Eukaryota; Viridiplantae; Streptophyta; Magnoliopsida; Poales; Poaceae. The transcript is spliced from 4 exons. The record is from RefSeq and is a predicted model, not a curated record.
CCAGGCCCGAGUGCCGCCGUCACCACCAGCGCCCGACUCCGAGCUCCUCCUCCCGUGCGCCUCCUCCCUGGCCUCCCUCGCGCGUCGUCCGGCGACCGGCGCCGCCGCCGCCGACCACCCAGGUCACGCCGCCGCUUCCAUGCCUUUUCUCUCUCUAAUCUUCUUGUCUCUCCUCUCCAGGAGCUCAGCGCCAGCGCCAUGGAUGUCCAGUCCUCGAGCUCUCCUCGGAGGUUCGAACGCCGCCACGGGACCUCCACCAGCCAGAUCCGGCGCCUACCUCCCGGAUCCGCGCUCCCUCCACCUCCUCUACCCGAUCCGGCGCCGCCGAACCCGCCAUGACCUCCACCAUGGAGUUCCUAUAGCUCGUCCCCUGCCUCCUCGUCCUGUGCUAGAGGGAGACGCCCCUCCAGCGCAUCCAGGACAAGGCCCACCACCAGCCGGUCGUUGUUGCACUCGCCGGCGACCUCACCCUCCCCUCUGCACUGCCCUCCACCUCAACUAAUGCUUCUCAUCAUCAGGGAUAGAUUUAGCUGGUCAUAGCUUGUGGAUGUUCUCUGUUAAUUUUUGCACACAAGGUGUUUGUGUGUUUGUCCAAGCCAAUGUUCAUGAGCUUUAUCUUUUCUAUAAAUGACAUGGCUGAGAAAGUCCCUUCAAUGAAAGGAGGAGGAGUAUAGUCUUGGCCAUGGCUGGGAAGGAAGGAUAACAUGCCUUCAUGCUGGACAGAGGAGGAGAAGAAGGGGGGCACGUCGAAGGUGCCGGUGGAGCGCGCCGUCGAGAUCGUUGAUGAUAGCGACACGGGCGAGGCCGGGGAGGAGGUCAUGGUUGAUGCUUUACUGCCUGAAUAUGUUGACCGGGAACAAGAGGGUAAGGUGGAUGUGAGGGCGGAGGCGCAUGCCAUGGUGCAGGAUGUUGUGGAAGCCUAAUUAUUUGAGGAAGUGACAGCCACUGGGAGCAUGGAUCGACAGACUAGACAGCAGACCAAGUCCAUUGAUCGGCUGAUUCAACAACGAAGGAAGAGGCAGAAGGUUAUAAAAACGAGCUUGGGGAUUUACUGACCUGAAUCUUAAACAGGGCCGCCCUGCUGGUGGACUCAAGCUCCAGGUUUGCUCCUAGCACGUCUUAAUUAAUUACAUUGGCUCUUGACAAAAUGUCUAGCAUCAUGGAUAAUGAAUUCAUUCUGUGAUGCCACAUAGAUAUGCAAAGUCAUAGUCCUGCAUGUAUGGACAUCUACUGAUACAUACAAGCCGAUCGACGGGCACACACAUUAAACAAAUCUAGCAAGUUUGGCUUCUUAAGAACAAAUCUAGCAAGCAACGACUCGACUGAUGAAAGAGAUGUUGACCAUCUUUGCUGCAGUGAGGUACCUUCUUGAUCAUGUUACUAAUCUGUAUCUACAUUAUUCAGAUGUGAAACUCAUGCUUCUUGAAACAUCUGCAACACAUAUGUGCACUCUGAAAUGGUAAAAUAUUUGCAUUCUAUAGUACUUCAAGUUUGUGUAGCAUCCCCAUAUUUCCUGCGACCCAGUUCCUUGAACUGGCUAACCCUUAUUGAUGUCAUAUGUCCUGAACUGACUCUCAUGACCAAGUUCCUCAACACGUCCGCCCCUCACAGGCAUGUUGUGCAGUGGCUCAAUUCAUCGCAUUAUGAUUGAACACAUUUGGACACAUUAGGAUUAGGUGAACACUGAACACUGCCAACAUCGGUGAGGGUGGUCAGGAAGAAAAGCCAAAACCACCAGACGAAGGGGCGCUGGUCUCUGGUUCUUUGCGAAGGCCACCGCAGCUCAUCUCCAAGACCUCUGCUGUCGUGUGUCCCCCAAGUUCUUCACCGAAUCUCCUCGCCCGCUGGCUGCUGCUCUUCUUCUCCCUCGAACACAUCUCUGCUUCUGAUCCUCUGCUGCCGCCCCUAACCUGCUGCUUCUGCUCUCUGAUGCUGCCCUCGACUGCUGUACCGCUCCUUCUCCAACGAACUGUUGUUCCUAAUCUUCUCUGAACCCAAACUGUUGCUGCUCCGCUUCCUCUCUGAACCUCAGUCUGCUGCUGCUUCUCUGAUUCAGAGUAAACCAAUAAGCAGGAAUUCUAGGUCGUUUUUCCUUUGGUAACAGUUAUUGUUAGUUCUAAACAAUUUUUCAGGGCCACGAUUAGGCUUCCAAGGGUUCAGAAAAUGAUGAAGAAGCCUUUUAUAUCACACACUAUAUAACAUCAUGGAAUCACAACCUUAUAACAACUAAUUUAAGAGGCUAUGUUCUGGUUUGCUGUAUCUCCACCAGUUUGGGUUGGUCUGAUAGCUAACCUAAACUGAAUAGGGAAUCAGGAGUACUUUAGUUGGUAUUGAAAGUGGUAUGUUUACUUUCAAGCUGAAAAUCUUUGCAAGUUUGGUCCUGGGAUAUUUAAUGCUCCCUUUUCUUAUUAUCUUCCAAUCAUACUAUACAUAUUUAGUUUUUUUUACUUUCUCUUGACAAGUGAACUGAAUUAUUCAUGGAGAAUCUGGUUAUGGUAAAUUUUAUUAUGGAGAUUCAUCCGAUGUAAUAGAAUAGCUUUAUUUGCUAAAAUCAAUACAUAACUAUAGUGUUGUAUGGUUACAACAUGUAGAGUUUUGCAAGUGAGAGUUACAGGAAGUCACUAUUGCAAGAUGGCAUUCAAUUAACACACGUACAAUCGACUGAUCACUGUAUCUUUUUUUGCUAAUUUAAUUUGAAAAAGCUAUUGCAAACAAUUUUUUCUUCUGAAAUCAUAUACUCUGUUUAUUUCUAAUGUGAUUUUGUUACUGUUUGUAUGGUAUUUCUCUGUCUAAAUUUUUUGUUACAUAAAUCAAUCUGCAUAUAUGUGUGCAGGCUGUGAAUCGACAAACAGCCCAGAAAAUAUGGCAUGCUACAUACCCUGUGAGUCUGUGACAGUACAUUAUCAGAAAUACUUAUAUUUUUGAUAAACGCAUCUCUCAUCCAUCAUGACAUAGAUGUGAUGCGUUGCAAGUGUUUUUUUUCGUUCUCUCGCGAUGCGUCGAGUACAUGAUGGAUGGUCUAAUCGUUCAGUGUGUCAUGUGUACUCAGUCACUUGUGUCAUCUUCAGAUUUUAGAAGUCAAAAUUCUAGCUUUAGCUCUAUAUUUAAGAAUUUUUCUACGGCAAAUGCAAGAAAAAUAAAGCGUCCUUCUGCUCUCAUUAUGAGGAAGUUCUGAAAAAUUGAGGCAUUUGUAUGAAUUUCUAUUCUUCAUUAUAAAUUAUCCUUUCAAGUUUAGAAAAUAAAACAUGAUAUACUCUGUAUGUCUCUGUUCUACACUACCACUACCAUUUUAUUGCUGCAAAACGCCAAUGAAAAAGUCAUUACUAUUUUCCACGUUUUUAUACAAUCAAGCUGAAAGAGCAAUAAAAUGAUCUGUUUUUGACAUCGCCUCAGAUCUUACCGAAAGGCAAUGUGCUUAUAAUGUACAUCUAGAUAACAAUAAUGUGUUUGGGAAUGAUUCAUUUGUCGACGGCCAGCCAUGUGGGGUGUGAGGGACGAUACUUAUAUCACUUAGUGGCCAAGGGAAUGACAUCACAAAAGUUUAUCUAACAUCCUAGGAGAAGAUGGACACAUGUUCCUAUAUUGCUUCUCUACAAUUGCUUUCACCAUUUGAUCAUCCAUGUAAUUUAUAGCAUCCAUGCAUAGCUUAUCCAUAUGCUGUUUGUAUUCACUUAUUCCUUUUGUUGACAUGGCUAGGAGGCUACUAUGAAUGUCACAUAGAUUGUAAUUUAACCUCCUUACAAAUAAUUAACGUUCAAACAUUCCAGUGGAGGAAUCUCAAGACUUAGGAAUGGUGCCCCGACAAUUGUGAGCGGCACAAAGGAAGGGCCGCCAUCACCAAGGAAGUACGCUGACAAUUGUGGACUCCAAAGAGGAACAAGCUCUAUAUUUAGUGCAUUAAGUUGCUAUUUUAAAUUCUGAGAGGUGUUGAAUUUUGUCGAUUUCUAAGACAUUAACUCGGAAGAAUUAUUAUUUUGCUUGAUGUAAACUCAGAUUAAUUUGUCAUGUCAUUUGAACCGAA